GACGAACGCUGGCGGCGUGCUUAACACAUGCAAGUCGAACGGCAAGGCCCUGCUUUUGUGGGGUGCUCGAGUGGCGAACGGGUGAGUAACACGUGAGUAACCUGCCCUUGACUUUGGGAUAACUUCAGGAAACUGGGGCUAAUACCGGAUAGGAGCUCCUGCUGCAUGGUGGGGGUUGGAAAGUUUCGGCGGUUGGGGAUGGACUCGCGGCUUAUCAGCUUGUUGGUGGGGUAGUGGCUUACCAAGGAUUUGACGGGUAGCCGGCCUGAGAGGGUGACCGGCCACAUUGGGACUGAGGUACGGACCAGACUCCUACGGGAGGCAGCAGUGGGGAAUAUUGCACAAUGGGCGGAAGCCUGAUGCAGCAACGCCGCGUGCGUGAUGACGGCCUUCGGGUUGUAAACCGCUUUCGCCUGUGACGAAGCGUGAGUGACGGUAAUGGGUAAAGAAGCACCGGCUAACUACGUG
This 468-nucleotide ribosomal RNA is filed under the name uncultured bacterium. Its description in RNAcentral is "partial 16S ribosomal RNA". It matches the Rfam family "Bacterial small subunit ribosomal RNA", at positions 28 to 507 of the family's 1533-position model. The record is from RNAcentral.